Molecule: ribosomal RNA, 460 nt
Filed under: uncultured bacterium
Lineage: Bacteria
Description: partial 16S ribosomal RNA
Rfam family: Bacterial small subunit ribosomal RNA
Source: RNAcentral
CCUACGGGAGGCUGCAGUGAGGAAUAUUGGUCAAUGGCCGGAAGGCUGAACCAGCCAUGCCGCGUGAAGGUCAGUGCCCUAUGGGCGUUAAACUUCUUUUGUGCGGGAGCAAUAAUGGUCACGUGUGGCCAGACGAGAGUACCGUACGAAUAAGCAUCGGCUAAAUCCGUGCCAGCAGCCGCGGGCAUUCGGGGGAGGCAAGCGUUAUCCGGAUUUAUUGGGGUUAAAGGGUGCGUAGGCGGGGAGGUAAGUCAGCGGGGAAAUGCCACCGGUCAAAGGGGUGAAGUGCCAUUGAUAUUGCCUUGCUGGAAUGCGGAUGCCGUGGGAGGAAUGUGUGGUGUAGCGGUGAAAUGCAUAGAUAUCACACAGAACACCGAUUGCGAAGGCAUCUCACGAAUCCGCGAUUGACGCUGAUGCACGAAAGCGUGGGUAUCAAACAGGAUUAGAUACCCCGGUAGUC